UACGGAGGGUGCGAGCGUUGCUCGGAAUUACUGGGCGUAAAGCGCGCGUAGGCGGCUUUGCAAGUCGGGUGUGAAAUCCCCAGGCUUAACCUGGGAACUGCAUUCGAGACUGCAGUGCUAGAGUAUGGGAGAGGGAAGUGGAAUUUCCGGUGUAGCGGUGAAAUGCGUAGAUAUCGGAAGGAACACCAGUGGCGAAAGCGACUUCCUGGACCAAUACUGACGCUCAUGUGCGAAAGCGUGGGGAGCAAACAGG
RNAcentral lists this ribosomal RNA (253 nucleotides) under uncultured bacterium. RNAcentral's name for it is "partial 16S ribosomal RNA". It matches the Rfam family "Bacterial small subunit ribosomal RNA", at positions 524 to 776 of the family's 1533-position model. The record is from RNAcentral.